CAAGAGCGUAUAUUAAAGUUGCUGCGGUUAAAAAGCUCGUAGUUGGAUUUCAGUCUAGGAAGGUUAACUCGCCGAAAGGUUGUACGUUGAUUUUCCUCAGACUUCGUCAGAAGCUCGUGCUGCACUUAACUGUGUGGUACGAUGUUCUGACCUUUUACCUUGAGGAAAGUAGAGUGUUUCAGGCAGGCUACCCAGCUUGAAUACAUUAGCAUGGAAUAAUGAAAUGGAUCUCGGUUCGAUUUCGUUGGUUCUAGAGCUGAGGUGAUGAUCAAUAGGAACAGGCGAAGGUAUUCGUACUUGAGAGUGAGGAGUGAAAUCCGAUGAUCUCUUAAAGACGAUCCGAGGCGAAAGCAUUUGUCAAGGAUGUUUUCAUUGAUCAAGAACGAAAGUUAGGGGAUCGAAGACGAUCAGAUACCAU
Molecule: ribosomal RNA, 418 nt
Filed under: uncultured eukaryote
Lineage: Eukaryota
Description: SSU rRNA
Rfam family: Eukaryotic small subunit ribosomal RNA
Source: RNAcentral